AUUGAACGCUAGCGGGAUGCUUUACACAUGCAAGUCGAACGAGUGGCGGACGGGUGAGUAAUAUAUCGGAACGUGCCCAGUAGCGGGGGAUAACUACUCGAAAGAGUGGCAAAUAACACAUCCUAUGGGAGCGGCCGCUAUCGGUUUAGCUAGUUGGUGGGGUAAAGGCUCACACAGGCAACGAUCGGUCGCUGGUUUGAGAGGACGACCGGGCACAGUGGUAAGUGGAAACGGCCCAUGCUCCUACGUGAGUCAGCAGUGGGGAAUUUUGGACAAUGGGGGAAACCCGGAUCCAGCCAUCCCGCGUGUAUGAGAAGGCCUUCGGGUUGUAAAGUACUUUUGGCAGAGAAGCGGUAUCUGCAGAAUAAGCACCGGCUAACUACGUGCCAGCAGCCGGGGUAAUUC
Molecule: ribosomal RNA, 405 nt
Filed under: uncultured bacterium
Lineage: Bacteria
Description: partial 16S ribosomal RNA
Rfam family: Bacterial small subunit ribosomal RNA
Source: RNAcentral